GAUGAUGGCGGAGUGACACCGCCACCGCUACCAUCCGACGUGGCAACGGCGGUCCCCUCGGGCCCACCAAACUCCCAAUUACCCGAUCCAAACAAGGGCCCAACGGACGAGCCGACCCGGCCCAUAGCUACAACAUACUCCUCCCUUUCAACCCUAGUCAAACUCUUUUGUUUCUCCGAACGACGUCGUUUGGCAGCCAACCUCCUCAAACUCUGAAGCUCCUUCCUCUUCCUCCACUCCUCCUCCGUCUCCACCGGCAACGACGCCGUUCUGACCAAACCCGAAUAAGAUCCAUCAUGACCCGUUUUCAACUUAUUAUUGUUCAAAACGUCGUCGUCGUCGUCUUUAACAACAGGUAAGAUUGCAGCAAUUGAAGAUGAUCUUACUAACUUACUCUUAUCCACACCAAAUCUUCCACCUAACGAUAACCCGAGAUUCAGCUCCAGAUCCUCUUCCGGGUCGGAUCCUCUCGGAUCUUUUGACCCGGUGAAUCUCUGCAACAAAUCCCUCGAUCUUUCACCCAUUUUGAACCAAAUAAACUCAAUCGAAGUGUUUUGUGACCCGAUUUGGAGAUAAUCGGAGUGGGAAAGUGGGUGUGAUCCGCAUAUUGGUUUGCUAUUGCUCUGAUUUUGAGCUUGAAAAGUGGGUUUUCUUCGUAAUUGAAGAAUUGGGGCAACAGAGAAAGAACCAAUUAGGAGAAACAGGGGAGGUUUUUAGAUAAUAUGAUUGGAGGAUGAAGAAAUUUGAGAGGAAAUGAAAUGAAGAAGAGAAUUGUUCGAAAGGGGAAAAGGAAACAGUAUGAGUGGAGAAGACAGAUGUUUUAGUUUCGACCCUUUAAGUUUAUUGAUUGGGAUACUUGAGAUUUUCUUUUACAUAUUUACUUAUUACUCCAACUACUUGUUCGGUUCUGGUUCUUGUUCGGUUCGUUGGUUAAAUUGAUCGGGGUCAUAAUUGAUUAACUUAACGUGUUCGGUUCUUGUUCGUUCACGGGUAUUUUGAUCGGGGUCAUAAUUGUAAAAGUAUGUGGUUCAAGUGUAUUUAACUGGACUGGUUGUGUAUAUGGUAUUUAGUUGACUAGUUGUGUAUGCGGUUUUUGAUCUGGGUGGUUGGUACGAUCUGAUUGUAAGAACAUUGUAUUUACUUGCUCUGACUACUUGUUCGGGCCGUGGGUUAAAUUGAUCAGGGUUAUAAUUGAUUAACUUUAAUGAAUGUGGUUCGAGUGUAUUCGAUUGGAGUGGUUGUG
This 1243-nucleotide long non-coding RNA is filed under the name Helianthus annuus (common sunflower). Its description in RNAcentral is "hypothetical non coding rna". Lineage: Eukaryota; Viridiplantae; Streptophyta; Magnoliopsida; Asterales; Asteraceae. The record is from RNAcentral.